ACCUUUCGCCUUGGCGGCGCGGGCCCGUAGGGCUGGACGGCGUCGGUGUGCUGCCCCGUCGUGGCCUGGACUGCCUGCAGUGUUGGCUGCGCACGGUUGGAGGUAUGCGGGCGUGCGGUCACAAUGCGUGCCGUGGGCGCUGGCUUUCGAGAGUGACCCAUUGGACCCGUCUUGAAACACGGACCAAGGAGUGCAGCACGCGUGCGAGUCUUUGGCCGGAAUGGCCGCCAGGCGCAGUGAGAGCGAAGGUGUGCUCUUUGCGCACCGAGGCGAGAGCCCCGUGCCGUGUGGCCGGGCCCAUCGCCGACCGGUCCCAUGCACGCCGUGCCGGGAUUCGAGUGAGAGCGCGCGUGCUGCGACCCGAAAGAUGGUGAACUAUGCCCGAGCAGGGCGAAGCCAGGGGAAACCCUGGUGGAGGCCCGCAGCGGUUCUGACGUGCAAAUCGAUCGUCUGACUUGGGUAUAGGGGCGAAAGACUAAUCGAACCGUCUAGUAGCUGGUUCCCUCCGAAGUUUCCCUCAGGAUAGCUGGAACCCGUCCGGUGCAGUUUUAUCAGGUAAAGCGAAUGAUUAGAGGCCUUGGGGCUGAAACAGCCUCAACCUAUUCUCAAACUUUAAAUAGGUAAGAAGGCGGUCUUGCUCGAGUGAAGUCCGCCGUGGAAUGCCCGGGUUCCAAGUGGGCCAUUUUUGGUAAGCAGAACUGGCGCUGUGGGAUGAACCAAACGCCCGGUUAAGGCGCCUAAACGACGCACAUUUCGGAUCCCACGAAAAGGAGUUGGUUGCUAAAGACAGCAGGACGGUGGCCAUGGAGGUCGGAAUCCGCUCAGGAGUGUGUAACAACUCACCUGCCGAAGCAACUAGCCCUUAAAAUGGGAGGCGCUAUAGCGUCGUGCCUAUACCGGGCCGUCGGUCGGCAGAGCGAAUAACGUCCGUGUCAGCCCGAAGAGAGCGACGGCGCUUAGGCCCCGACGAGUAGGGGGGUCGCGACGGUGAGCGUUGAAGGGUUGUGGGCGUGAGCCUGCCCGGAGCCGCCGUCGGUGCAGAUCUUGGUGGUAGUAGCAACGAUUCAAAUGAGAACUUUGAAGACUGAAGUGGGGAAGGGUUCCGCGUGAACAGCAUUUGGACGUGGGUGAGUCGGUCCUGAGGGACGGGUUAACUCCUUCCCAGUGCGCGCGGGCUCCCGCCCUCGGCGGGGUCGGUCUGCGCUGGUCCCGAAAGGGAAUCGGGUCAACAUUCCCGAACCGGAAUGCAGUGUCGGCGUUCGGUCCCUGCGGCCGUCUGCCUCGGCGGCGACGCGUGCGAGCUCGGAGACGCCGGCGCGAGUCCCGGGAAGAGUUCUCUUUUCUUUUCGACAGGCGGUACACCCUGGAAGGGGAUUGCCCCGAGAUAGGGUCGCCCCCCUGGCCAAGCGUCGCACCUCUGGCGGCGUCCGGUGCACUCGCGUGGGCCCGUGAAAAUCCGAGGGAGCGGAUUGCACUGACAUCCGGCCGUACCCAUAACCGCAGCAGGUCUCCAAGGUGAACAGCCUCUAGUCGAUGGAACAAUGUAGGUAAGGGAAGUCGGCAAAUUGGAUCCGUAACUUCGGGACAAGGAUUGGCUCUAAGGGCUGGGUCUGUCGGGCUUCGUCCGGAGGCCGGAGGAACCGCGCGCGUCUGGGUGAGCGGCCCCUCCGGGGGAUGCAAUCCCGGAAGUGCGAGGGACAGCUGGCCGAAAGUCGAAGCUUGGCCUUCGCGGGCCGAUCGGCAGGCGACGAACAGCCACCUUAGAACUGGAACGGACAAGGGGAAUCCGACUGUUUAAUUAAAACAAAGCAUUGCGAUGGCCGAAACCGGUGUUGACGCAAUGUGAUUUCUGCCCAGUGCUCUGAAUGUCAAAGUGAAGAAAUUCGACCAAGCACGGGUAAACGGCGGGAGUAACUAUGACUCUCUUAAGGUAGCCAAAUGCCUCGUCAUCUAAUUAGUGACGCGCAUGAAUGGAUUAACGAGAUUCCCACUGUCCCUAUCUACUAUCUAGCGAAACCGCAGCCAAGGGAACGGACUUGGCGUAAUCAGCGGGGAAAGAAGACCCUGUUGAGCUUGACUCUAGUCCGACUCUGUGGAAAGACAUGAGAGGUGUAGGAUAGGUGGGAGCCCCGGCGCCGGUGAAAUACCACUACUUUCAUCGUUUUUUUACUUAUUCAAUGGGGCGGAAGCGGGCCUCACGGCCCACCUUCUGGCGUUAAGGCACCCCGGCGUGCCGAUCCGAGUUGAAGACAGUGUCAGAUGGGGAGUUUGGCUGGGGCGGCACAUCUGUCAAACGAUAACGCAGGUGUCCUAAGG
Molecule: ribosomal RNA, 2316 nt
Filed under: Halisarca caerulea
Lineage: Eukaryota; Metazoa; Porifera; Demospongiae; Chondrillida; Halisarcidae
Description: eukaryotic LSU rRNA
Rfam family: Eukaryotic large subunit ribosomal RNA
Source: RNAcentral